Molecule: ribosomal RNA, 1229 nt
Filed under: Aspergillus terreus
Lineage: Eukaryota; Fungi; Ascomycota; Eurotiomycetes; Eurotiales; Aspergillaceae
Description: eukaryotic LSU rRNA
Rfam family: Eukaryotic large subunit ribosomal RNA (bases 578-1229)
Source: RNAcentral
UUGGAAGUAAAAGUCGUAACAAGGUUUCCGUAGGUGAACCUGCGGAGGAUCAUUACCGAGUGCGGGUCUUUAUGGCCCAACCUCCCACCCGUGACUAUUGUACCUUGUUGCUUCGGCGGGCCCGCCAGCGUUGCUGGCCGCCGGGGGGCGACUCGCCCCCGGGCCCGUGCCCGCCGGAGACCCCAACAUGAACCCUGUUCUGAAAGCUUGCAGUCUGAGUGUGAUUCUUUGCAAUCAGUUAAAACUUUCAACAAUGGAUCUCUUGGUUCCGGCAUCGAUGAAGAACGCAGCGAAAUGCGAUAACUAAUGUGAAUUGCAGAAUUCAGUGAAUCAUCGAGUCUUUGAACGCACAUUGCGCCCCCUGGUAUUCCGGGGGGCAUGCCUGUCCGAGCGUCAUUGCUGCCCUCAAGCCCGGCUUUGUGUGUUGGGCCCUCGUCCCCCGGCUCCCGGGGGACGGGCCCGAAAGGCAGCGGCGGCACCGCGUCCGGUCCUCGAGCGUAUGGGGCUUCGUCUUCCGCUCCGUAGGCCCGGCCGGCGCCCGCCGACGCAUUUAUUUGCAACUUGUUUUUUUCCAGGUUGACCUCGGAUCAGGUAGGGAUACCCGCUGAACUUAAGCAUAUCAAUAAGCGGAGGAAAAGAAACCAACCGGGAUUGCCUCAGUAACGGCGAGUGAAGCGGCAAGAGCUCAAAUUUGAAAGCUGGCUCCUUCGGGGUCCGCAUUGUAAUUUGCAGAGGAUGCUUCGGGUGCAGCCCCCGUCUAAGUGCCCUGGAACGGGCCGUCAUAGAGGGUGAGAAUCCCGUAUGGGGGCGGGGUGUCUGCGUCCGUGUGAAGCUCCUUCGACGAGUCGAGUUGUUUGGGAAUGCAGCUCUAAAUGGGUGGUAAAUUUCAUCUAAAGCUAAAUACUGGCCGGAGACCGAUAGCGCACAAGUAGAGUGAUCGAAAGAUGAAAAGCACUUUGAAAAGAGAGUUAAACAGCACGUGAAAUUGUUGAAAGGGAAGCGCUUGCAACCAGACUCGCUCGCGGGGUUCAGCCGGGCUUCGGCCCGGUGUACUUCCCCGCGGGCGGGCCAGCGUCGGUUUGGGCGGCCGGUCAAAGGCCUCCGGAAUGUAGCGCCCUUCGGGGCGCCUUAUAGCCGGGGGUGCAAUGCGGCCAGCCUGGACCGAGGAACGCGCUUCGGCACGGACGCUGGCAUAAUGGUUGUAAACGACCCGUCUUGAAACACGGACC